Long non-coding RNA from Equus asinus (donkey), 992 nucleotides. The record is from Ensembl. Lineage: Eukaryota; Metazoa; Chordata; Mammalia; Perissodactyla; Equidae.
GAACCCAAGUUCCUCAGUCAGUUUCUGGAAGUGAUAUUGUUGGGGGUUAAAGCAGUGGAGAGGUUGUCACUGCCUCCACCACAUCUUUCCAGCACCCAUUCCUCUCCACCCUAAAUUAAACAAUUUUGGUAUUUCCUGACUAGAAGGCCAUCUACCUCUAUGUUCAUUUUCUCAGCUUUGCACAUUUCUACCAUCUUUGUGAGCCAAGCCUACCUCCCCAACCCCCACCAUCUCCAGCUCACUCUUUGGAGAGAGUCCUCAAGAGCCAGAAACAAGGAGAAAGAGAGUCUAAAGAGAGAGAAAGAAUAAAUUGCUUUAGAGAUAAAUAAUUUAUUGCAUGCAAAUGGAACAGCCCUCCAGCUCUUGGAAAGCUUCCAGAGUAGCCCCCAGUGCCGAGCAAGACGUGUGCUCCUGACUCACGCCCAUUGGAUUCUUCCUCCGCGGCUGUUUUCAGCGAAGUGAACCCGACAUUCUAGUCAGGGGAGGGCAGGAUGCUCAGGACCCACUGCCAGAGAGCCACCCCUAGCCUCUGGGACAGCAGUGAUCUCCAGGAGCACAGCGCUGGACUCUAGCCCGCAUUCUGUCUCCGGGUACGAGGACUACACAGAUGAAUAAAACACUGCUGCCUUCAGGGACCUCAGUCUAGUGGGAGUGGCCAACAGGUAAACAGAUAAUCACAUGCAGGUGGCUUGGAAGAACAUGGGAAGACACAGGACUCAAUCUUGGUGGCACAGGGAUGGCUCUCCAGAAGUGACAUCUACAAGGAGAAGUAAAGGAUGAACCGUGGUUAGCUAGGCCAGAGGCCGGCAAUGUGUGGGGACCUGCAGCAUUUGCUCUCUGGGGGCAGGGAGCAGGAUAGGAACACCCAGGAGUGGCCAAAGCCAGUGCUUCCUAUGAUCUUCGUCUUUGAGGGCCUUCAGUUCUCUCUCUGCUCCACCUCGUUGUCCUUUCCCUCUCCAGGAGAAAGCAGGAAGCCGGAAACUGUCACGCUU